GGAAAUGUAGAUAAAACAUUUUGGCCUGAGGACUCUCUUGGCAAAAGCCGCUCAUAUAAACGCAUGUAUAUCCAUGAGAAUCAAACUGCAUUUUCAUUUGGGUGGGGAUCUUCUUUUGAAGUUCCCAAACUUUUCUCAUUAUUAUCCUUGUUGUCUUCCUUUUGUUCAUGUUCUUUUGCAGCUUCAUUGGAUUCAGGUUGAACAUCCAUUGGAUGAACUUCAGAAUUCCCUAAUGUGCUUAUGUUCACAAUAGUCUUCAAAUUUUCUGCUAACUUUUCCUCCAUAAUCACCUUCUUUGCUUUCCUGUAGACUGCGUACAAUAGCAUCUGAAGUAGCCCCAAGAUG
This 345-nucleotide unclassified non-coding RNA is filed under the name Hevea brasiliensis (rubber tree). The record is from RNAcentral. Lineage: Eukaryota; Viridiplantae; Streptophyta; Magnoliopsida; Malpighiales; Euphorbiaceae.